RNAcentral lists this ribosomal RNA (1350 nucleotides) under Nocardiopsis sp. MORSY1948. RNAcentral's name for it is "bacterial SSU rRNA". It matches the Rfam family "Bacterial small subunit ribosomal RNA", at positions 17 to 1345 of the family's 1533-position model. The record is from RNAcentral. Lineage: Bacteria; Bacillati; Actinomycetota; Actinomycetes; Streptosporangiales; Nocardiopsidaceae.
UCCUGGCUCAGGACGAACGCUGGCGGCGUGCUUAACACAUGCAAGUCGAGCGGUAAGGCCCUUCGGGGUACACGAGCGGCGAACGGGUGAGUAACACGUGAGCAACCUGCCCCUGACUCCGGGAUAAGCGGUGGAAACGCCGUCUAAUACCGGAUACGACCACCGGGUGCCUGCCUGGUGGUGGAAAGUUGUGUCGGUCAGGGAUGGGCUCGCGGCCUAUCAGCUGGUUGGUGGGGUAACGGCCUACCAAGGCGAUUACGGGUAGCCGGCCUGAGAGGGCGACCGGCCACACUGGGACUGAGACACGGCCCAGACUCCUGCGGGAGGCAGCAGUGGGGAAUAUUGCGCAAUGGGCGAAAGCCUGACGCAGCGACGCCGCGUGGGGGAUGACGGCCUUCGGGUUGUAAACGUCUUUUACCUUCAAGUUGUGAACCUCUUUUACCACCAACGCAGGCUCGGGGUUUUCUCCGGGUUGACGGUAGGUGGGGAAUAAGGACCGGCUAACUACGUGCCAGCAGCCGCGGUAAUACGUAGGGUCCGAGCGUUGUCCGGAAUUAUUGGGCGUAAAGAGCUCGUAGGCGGCGUGUCGCGUCUGCUGUGAAAGACCGGGGCUUAACUCCGGUUCUGCAGUGGAUACGGGCAUGCUUGAGGUAGGUAGGGGAGACUGGAAUUCCUGGUGUAGCGGUGAAAUGCGCAGAUAUCAGGAGGAACACCGGUGGCGAAGGCGGGUCUCUGGGCCUUACCUGACGCUGAGGAGCGAAAGCAUGGGGAGCGAACAGGAUUAGAUACCCUGGUAGUCCAUGCCGUAAACGUUGGGCGCUAGGUGUGGGGACUUUCCACGGUUUCCGCGCCGUAGCUAACGCAUUAAGCGCCCCGCCUGGGGAGUACGGCCGCAAGGCUAAAACUCAAAGGAAUUGACGGGGGCCCGCACAAGCGGCGGAGCAUGUUGCUUAAUUCGACGCAACGCGAAGAACCUUACCAAGGUUUGACAUCACCCGUGGACCUGCAGAGAUGUGGGGUCAUUUGGUUGGCGGGUGACAGGUGGUGCAUGGCUGUCGUCAGCUCGUGUCGUGAGAUGUUGGGUUAAGUCCCGCAACGAGCGCAACCCUUGUUCCAUGUUGCCAGCACGUGAUGGUGGGGACUCAUGGGAGACUGCCGGGGUCAACUCGGAGGAAGGUGGGGAUGACGUCAAGUCAUCAUGCCCCUUAUGUCUUGGGCUGCAAACAUGCUACAAUGGCCGGUACAAUGGGCGUGCGAUGCCGUAAGGUGGAGCGAAUCCCUAAAAGCCGGUCUCAGUUCGGAUUGGGGUCUGCAACUCGACCCCAUGAAGGUGGAGUCGCUAGUAAUCGC